RNAcentral lists this ribosomal RNA (1001 nucleotides) under Opisthorchis sudarikovi. RNAcentral describes it as "16S ribosomal RNA". The stretch from base 676 to 959 matches the Rfam family "Archaeal large subunit ribosomal RNA", at positions 2150 to 2716 of the family's 2987-position model. Lineage: Eukaryota; Metazoa; Platyhelminthes; Trematoda; Opisthorchiida; Opisthorchiidae. The record is from RNAcentral.
CUGUUUCCAUUGGUUUGAGGGCUGUUGUUUUGUGGUUGUCUGUAGGUGUUGUACCUUUUGCAUUAUGAUUCAUCGAGGCUUUCUUCUUAUUGGGGGGUUGCUCGAAGGGUAGCGAUUUCUUUCUGACCUGCUUCGAUCUGAGUGUCUUACAGGUUGUUGGGUGUUAGAGUUGGGGAGUGUUGUGAUAAAUAGUUCGUGCUAUCCUAUAGCUAGUUUGUUGUUUUCUUUUUCGUUUGUACCUUUCUUGUCUGGAUAUGAGAGAGGGGGUAAGAGGUGAGUUUUGUCUGGAUUAGGUAUGGGUUGAGGGUACCUCGAUUUCUUUAGUGUGUUAAAACCAGUUUUUCAGAGAAAAGUUGCCUUUAAUUUUUUGGUGGUUUGCAAUUUUUUAAUUAUGUUGAGGAAGUAUGGUGGAAUAAGUAGUUUGAUUAGCCUCUUUUUUUCUCGGACUCCCUCGAUCUGUUUAUUAAAAACAUUUCCAUUAUUUAAGGUUUGAUGGUAGUGCCUGCCCAAUGCUUUACGGUGAAUGGCCGCAGUAUCUUGACUGUGCUAAGGUAGCAUAAUUAAUUGCCCUAUAAUUGAGGGAUAGUUUGAAAGGUUUGAUUAGGGGGAGAUGGUAUUGAUCUAGAUGGGGGCUUUGUUCGAAAUUGGUUUUUUGGUGCAGAACCCAAAAAUGAUAAGUAAGACGGAAAGACCCCGAGAGCUUGGAUUUAUCUUUUACCUGGGGAGGGGGUAUAUAAUUCAUGUACUUUUUGAUCCUUUGCAGGACUGUAGGGAUAAGAUACCUCGGGGAUAACUAGGUAAGAAGCAAGGAGAGGUCCUAUUGAUUUGCUUGAUUGCCAUCUCGAUGUUUGUUUGGGGUAGCGAAGAGGCGCAGCAGCCUUUUCGUGGGGUCUGUUCGACCAUAGUUCCCCAUGAGCUGAGUUAAGACCGGUGUGAGCCAGGUCGGUUCUUAUCUACUUGGGCUGUGUUCUAGUACGAAAGGAUUGUUCACAGUUUACGUU